This is a non-coding RNA of Arachis ipaensis, 670 nucleotides long. NCBI's taxonomy places the organism in Eukaryota, Viridiplantae, Streptophyta, Magnoliopsida, Fabales, Fabaceae. The record is from RefSeq and is a predicted model, not a curated record.
GCUAGAAGAUAUAUUCCAAAAGAAUUCAAAUAGGUUGAAGCUUUUGGGGGGCCAAUAUUCUUGUAGAUAAUAAAGGUUGCAUUAAACUUGCAGAUUUUAGGGCCUCCAAACAAGUUGAGCUGGCUGCAGAGGCUUGGAUUGAUGUUGAAAGAGUUCAUACAAUUACAUUAGGAGCCAAGAAGAACUAGUGUCCUGAUGAUCUAUCCUUUUUUUCCGGUUUUAAAUCAUGUUGUAGUUUUACUUCAUUUUCAUCUUCAAUUGUAUUCCUUUUAGAGAAGCGUAAUAUUUCAAUUUGCAUCAUCUAAUCUUUGGGAGCAUUGUGCUUCCAUCAGGUCGAGUAGGUUCAACAGUUAUGGACCUCACUACACCACACAAAUACAAGAUACUGAGACCUGGAAGAAGCUUGCAAAAGAAACUCUGUAUUCAACAGGAUCCAGUUGCUGCAUCAUGCUCUAGGUGUAGAGAAUUGUGGUGUUCUUCUCUUCGAUAAAUUUGAGAUACUGGGUUGUGGUGAUUGUGGUGCUACUGCGGUUGUCUAAUUUGAGGUUACAAUGAAGCUUCUUUUAGAUAGGGGAAAAUUCAUGCAAGUGCUUUGUUGCGGAGGGGAAUUUGGACCUUAAAUGAAAAUUUUUGUACCGAUUUCUUGUUGGUUCUUGAGGAGAAUUAUAAA